CGCUGGCGCUGCGCCGGGCUGACGCGGACGUCGUUCUCGCCGAUGCCCGGCCCGUGGCAGUUCCAGAAGUCGUCCGCCAGCGU
This 83-nucleotide transfer RNA is filed under the name Phycisphaerae bacterium RAS1. Its description in RNAcentral is "tRNA-Glu". The record is from RNAcentral. Lineage: Bacteria; Pseudomonadati; Planctomycetota; Phycisphaerae.